RNAcentral lists this transfer RNA (70 nucleotides) under Loxodonta africana (African savanna elephant). It matches the Rfam family "tRNA". Rfam says of the family: Transfer RNA (tRNA) molecules are approximately 80 nucleotides in length. Lineage: Eukaryota; Metazoa; Chordata; Mammalia; Proboscidea; Elephantidae. The record is from Rfam by way of RNAcentral.
GCUGGUGGUACAGUGGUUAAGCACUUGGCUGCUAACCAAAAGGUUGGUGGUUCAAAUCCACCCAACAGCU